GCCGCUAUAGCUCAGAGGUAGAGUACACCAUUGGUAAUGGUGUGGUCGAAGGUUCAAUUCCUUCUAGCGGCACCA
This 75-nucleotide transfer RNA is filed under the name Rickettsia endosymbiont of Sericostoma sp. RNAcentral's name for it is "tRNA-Thr". It matches the Rfam family "tRNA". Rfam says of the family: Transfer RNA (tRNA) molecules are approximately 80 nucleotides in length. Their secondary structure includes four short double-helical elements and three loops (D, anti-codon, and T loops). The record is from RNAcentral. Lineage: Bacteria; Pseudomonadati; Pseudomonadota; Alphaproteobacteria; Rickettsiales; Rickettsiaceae.